This 429-nucleotide ribosomal RNA is filed under the name uncultured bacterium. RNAcentral's name for it is "bacterial SSU rRNA". It matches the Rfam family "Bacterial small subunit ribosomal RNA", at positions 47 to 450 of the family's 1533-position model. The record is from RNAcentral.
CCUAACACAUGCAAGUCGAGCGCAGGAAGCAAGUUGAUCCCCUUCGGGGGUGACGCUUGUGGAAUGAGCGGCGGACGGGUGAGUAACACGUGGGCAACCUGCCUGUAAGACUGGGAUAACCCCGGGAAACCGGGGCUAAUACCAGAUAAUACUUUCUUUUGCAUAAAGGAAAGUUGAAAGGCGGCUUCGGCUGUCACUUACAGAUGGGCCCGCGGCGCAUUAGCUAGUUGGUGAGGUAACGGCUCACCAAGGCGACGAUGCGUAGCCGACCUGAGAGGGUGAUCGGCCACACUGGGACUGAGACACGACCCAGACUCCUACGGGAGGCAGCAGUAGGGAAUCUUCCGCAAUGGACGAAAGUCUGACGGAGCAACGCCGCGUGAGUGAUGAAGGUUUUCGGAUCGUAAAACUCUGUUGUUAGGGAAGAAC